UCCUCCCUCUGGCGGCGUGCUUAACACAUGCAAGUCGAACGGAAAGGCCCUGCUUUUGUGGGGUGCUCGAGUGGCGAACGGGUGAGUAACACGUGAGUAACCUGCCCUUGACUUUGGGAUAACUUCAGGAAACUGGGGCUAAUACCGGAUAGGAGCUCCUGCUGCAUGGUGGGGGUUGGAAAGUUUCGGCGGUUGGGGAUGGACUCGCGGCUUAUCAGCUUGUUGGUGGGGUAGUGGCUUACCAAGGCUUUGACGGGUAGCCGGCCUGAGAGGGUGACCGGCCACAUUGGGACUGAGAUACGGCCCAGACUACUACGGGAGGCAGCAGUGGGGAAUAUUGCACAAUGGGCGGAAGCCUGAUGCAGCAACGCCGCGUGCGGGAUGACGGCCUUCGGGUUGUAAACCGCUUUCGCCUGUGACGAAGCGUGAGUGACGGUAAUGGGUAAAGAAGCACCGGCUAACUACGUG
RNAcentral lists this ribosomal RNA (468 nucleotides) under uncultured bacterium. Its description in RNAcentral is "partial 16S ribosomal RNA". It matches the Rfam family "Bacterial small subunit ribosomal RNA", at positions 36 to 507 of the family's 1533-position model. The record is from RNAcentral.